GGGGACUGAUUUAAAAGCUGGGGGAAAAACACACCCGACAGGAAUCUGGGUUCACUGUGACGAGGGGCACAAAACGUGUGGCCUUGUGAUGAACAGAAACCCAACGCGU
RNAcentral lists this small nucleolar RNA (109 nucleotides) under Moschus moschiferus (Siberian musk deer). RNAcentral's name for it is "Small nucleolar RNA SNORA11 (ENSMMSG00000013023.1)". It matches the Rfam family "Small nucleolar RNA SNORA11". From Rfam's summary of the family: U107 (SNORA11) is a member of the H/ACA class of snoRNAs that guide the sites of modification of uridines to pseudouridines. Lineage: Eukaryota; Metazoa; Chordata; Mammalia; Artiodactyla; Moschidae. The record is from Rfam by way of RNAcentral.